AGAGUUUGAUCCUGGCUUAGGAUGAACGCUAGCUACAGGCUUAACACAUGCAAGUCGAGGGGCAGCAUUGGAGUAGCAAUACUCAGAUGGCGACCGGCGCACGGGUGAGUAACACGUAUCCAACCUGCCGCUUACUCGGGGACAGCCUUUCGAAAGAAAGAUUAAUACCCGAUGGUAUAAAGAGUUCGCAUGUUCUCUUUAUUAAAGAAUUUCGGUAAGCGAUGGGGAUGCGUUCCAUUAGAUAGUUGGCGGGGUAACGGCCCACCAAGUCUACGAUGGAUAGGGGUUCUGAGAGGAAGGUCCCCCACAUUGGAACUGAGACACGGUCCAAACUCCUACGGGAGGCAGCAGUGAGGAAUAUUGGUCAAUGGACGAGAGUCUGAACCAGCCAAGUAGCGUGAAGGAUGACUGCCCUAUGGGUUGUAAACUUCUUUUAUAAGGGAAUAAAGUGAGGGACGUGUCCCUUUUUGUAUGUACCUUAUGAAUAAGGAUCGGCUAACUCCGUGCCAGCAGCUGC
Molecule: ribosomal RNA, 517 nt
Filed under: uncultured bacterium
Lineage: Bacteria
Description: bacterial SSU rRNA
Rfam family: Bacterial small subunit ribosomal RNA
Source: RNAcentral